CGGAGGAUCCAAGCGUUAUCCGGAAUCAUUGGGUUAAAGGGUCCGUAGCGGGUUUAUAAGUCAGUGGUGAAAGCCCAUCGCUCAACGAUGGAACGGCCAUUGAUACUGUAGAUCUUGAAUUAUUAGGAAGUAACUAGAAUAUGUAGUGUAGCGGUGAAAUGCUUAGAGAUUACAUGGAAUACCAAUUGCGAAGGCAGGUUACUACUAAUGGAUUGACGCUGAUGGACGAAAGCGUGGGUAGCGAACAGGAUUAGAUACCCUGGUAGUCCACGCCGUAAACGAUGGAUACUAGCUGUUCGGAGCAAUCUGAGUGGCUAAGCGAAAGUGAUAAGUAUCCCACCUGGGGAGUACGUUCGCAAGAAUG
RNAcentral lists this ribosomal RNA (364 nucleotides) under uncultured organism. RNAcentral describes it as "bacterial SSU rRNA". It matches the Rfam family "Bacterial small subunit ribosomal RNA", at positions 526 to 896 of the family's 1533-position model. The record is from RNAcentral.